UGGGGAAUUUUGCACAAUGGGGGAAACCCUGAUGCAGCGACGCCGCGUGAUUUAGAAGGCCUUCGGGUUGUAAAAAUCUUUUCUCUGGGAAGAAAAUGACAGUACCAUAGGAAUAAGGACCGGCUAAUUACGUGCCAGCAGCCGCGGUAAUACGUAAGGUCCGAGCGUUGGCCGGAAUCAUUGGGCGUAAAGGGUACGUAGGCGGGUAAGCAAGUUAGAAGUGAAAUCCUAUAGCUCAACUAUAGUAAGCUUUUAAAACUGCUCAUCUUGAGGUAUGGAAGGGAAAGUGGAAUUCCUAGUGUAGCGGUGAAAUGCGCAGAUAUUAGGAGGAAUACCGGUGGCGAAGGCGACUUUCUGGCCAUAACCUGACGCUGAGGUACGAAAGCGUGGGUAGCAAACAGG
RNAcentral lists this ribosomal RNA (402 nucleotides) under bacterium. RNAcentral describes it as "partial 16S ribosomal RNA". It matches the Rfam family "Bacterial small subunit ribosomal RNA", at positions 355 to 776 of the family's 1533-position model. The record is from RNAcentral.